UACGUGGGGGGCCAGCGUUGCUCGGAAUUACUGGGCGUAAAGGGUUCGUAGGUGGUGCGGCAAGUUGGACGUGACAUCUCUGGGCUUAACCCAGAGGCUGCUUUCAAAACUGCCGUGCUCGAGUGCGAGAGAGGUCAGUGGAAUUGCAGGUGGAGCGGUGAAAUGCGUAGAUAGCUGCAGGAACAACCGUGGCGAAGGCGGCUGACGGGAUCGCAACUGACACUGAGGAACGAAAGCUAGGGGAGCAAACAGG
RNAcentral lists this ribosomal RNA (253 nucleotides) under uncultured bacterium. Its description in RNAcentral is "partial 16S ribosomal RNA". It matches the Rfam family "Bacterial small subunit ribosomal RNA", at positions 524 to 776 of the family's 1533-position model. The record is from RNAcentral.